Molecule: ribosomal RNA, 1214 nt
Filed under: metagenome
Description: bacterial SSU rRNA
Rfam family: Bacterial small subunit ribosomal RNA
Source: RNAcentral
AAGACAGCGAUGUCUAGGGGUUCUGAGAGGAAUAUCCCCCACACUGGUACUGAGACACGGACCAGACUCCUACGGGAGGCAGCAGUAAGGAAUAUUGGUCAAUGGGCGAAAGCCUGAACCAGCCAUGCCGCGUGCAGGAUGAAGGCCCUAUGGGUUGUAAACUGCUUUUAUGUAGGAAGAAACUCCUGUACGUGUACAGGACUGACGGUACUACACGAAUAAGGACCGGCUAACUCCGUGCCAGCAGCCGCGGUAAUACGGAGGGUCCAAGCGUUAUCCGGAUUCAUUGGGUUUAAAGGGUGCGCAGGCGGACCGAUAAGUCAGUGGUGAAAUCCUACAGCUCAACUGUAGAACUGCCAUUGAUACUGUCGAUCUUGAGUAUAGUUGAAGUGGGCGGAAUGUAUCAUGUAGCGGUGAAAUGCAUAGAUAUGAUACAGAACUCCGAUAGCGAAGGCAGCUCACUAACCUAUAACUGACGCUCAGGCACGAAAGCGUGGGGAGCAAACAGGAUUAGAUACCCUGGUAGUCCACGCCGUAAACGAUGAUCACUCGUUGUUGGCGAUACACAGUCAGCGACUGAACGAAAGCAUUAAGUGAUCCACCUGGGAAGUACGAUCGCAAGGUUGAAACUCAAAGGAAUUGACGGGGGCCCGCACAAGCGGAGGAGCAUGUGGUUUAAUUCGAUGAUACGCGAGAAACCUUACCUGGGCUUAAAUGUAUAAUGACCGACUGGGAACCAGUCUUCUCUUCGGAGCAUUUUACAAGGUGCUGCAUGGUUGUCGUCAGCUCGUGCCGUGAGGUGUCGGGUUAAGUCCCAUAACGAGCGCAACCCCUAUUCUUAGUUGCCAUCAGAUAAUCUGGGGACUCUAAGGAAACUGCCUACGCAAGUAGUGAAAGGUGGGGAUGACGUCAAAUCAGCACGGCCCUUAUGUCCAGGGCUACACACGUGCUACAAUGGUCGGUACAGAGGGUCGCUACCUGGUGACAGGAUGCUAAUCUCGAAAACCGAUCUCAGUUCGGAUCGAAGUCUGCAACUCGACUUCGUGAAGCUGGAUUCGCUAGUAAUCGCAUAUCAGCAAUGGUGCGGUGAAUACGUUCCCGGGCCUUGUACAUACCGCCCGUCAGGCCAUGGAAGCUGGGGGUACCUGAAGUCUGUGACCGCAAGGAGCGGCCUAGGGUAAAACUAGUAACUGGGGCUAAGUCGUAACAAGGUA